Non-coding RNA from Paramuricea clavata, 1257 nucleotides. Lineage: Eukaryota; Metazoa; Cnidaria; Anthozoa; Malacalcyonacea; Plexauridae. The record is from the annotation of a GenBank genome assembly.
UCACGUUUCAAAUUUUGUUUUAAUAUUUAUUAGCCAUCAACACAAACGAGAAAAACGUUUUGGUUCCAGACCAUAUAAUUCCAGUUGAUGUUUUGAGGAAUGAAAAAUCAUGUCAACCAAUAAUGAACUAUCAGAUACUCAGCGUAUGUUAUUGCAUGCCAUUAUGUUUUCGAGUCUUCUAUCCACUCUUUGUGAUGGAAUUUUUUAGUUAUGACUUAUGUGGACCAUGUCAAUCAGAGUUGUUUUGUUGGCACAGGUUAAAAAUUGUUAUCUUAAUUUGUAUAGAUGUUUGCAUGUGUGUAAUUUUGCACACCUUCCAAGGUGUGUAUUUGCAAGCUGUGUAGCAAGCAAAAAGGUGUGUUAUUUUGCACACCUUGCAAGGUGUGUAAAAAAGCACGGCUUAAGGUGUGUAAUUUGUUCGCUAGAGAUUCAGGGCAAAAUACACACCUUAUUGUGUGUAAAAAUACAUACCUUUUUGAAAAACACGCCUCAAGGUGCGUGAAUUUGGCGAAAGCAAAAAACGCAAAAAACACACCUUAAGGCGUGUUUUUACACACCUUUAUCUUGCAAAUACACACCUUCAGGUGUGUAAAAAUACAUUGGGAUGCUGUCUCUCCCACGUUUGAGAGUCUCCGCACCACGAAAUGCGACUUAGUUAUUUGUAUAAUAGUAAAUUUACAGUUGACAACUUUAAAAAGUCGUUUUUCACGUUGUUUGAAUUGUCUAGAAUCUUUCACGAGGGCAGUCCCUGCCUAUCCGCCCGAAAAUUUAGUGGAUUAGUAUAAAUAUCACCUUCCUAGGUUCAUAGUCUAAUCCAGAACGAUGUCUGACUGAUUAAACGUUUAUUAAUAUCCGCUAAAGCAUCUGUAAAGUUAAAUCGCGGGUUAAGAUACCAUAAAUCUGGGUUAUCAUCGAAUUGUGUCUGUUGUGAUGUGUUCCUCUUCGUCUGGUUUGUUUGACUGAGUUUGUAACCCGUUCUCGCAGCCAUGUGUUGGGGACCUGGUGACUUACGUUUGUGACCUCGUUUCAUCUGAGAAUUUUUUAGUGGGCUUGUGAUGUCCUACAUAGGGAAUAUACAAAAAACAACAUGUGAAAUUUUAUGUGGAAUUGGAGCAUGUCACAUGUGAAAAUCAGGGGCGUAGCUAGAGGGUGUGUGUGUGUGUGUGGGGGGGGGAUGUAACAUCGGCAAAUUGUUUUCGUAGUCAGCGAAAAUAUUUGAGUGGCUCGGAAUAAAAAGCAAUAGUUAUAGAAAAUGUU